GUGUAGCUCAGUGGCAGAGCACUUGCCUACCAUGCAGGAAGCCCUGGGUUCCAUUCCCAGCAC
RNAcentral lists this transfer RNA (63 nucleotides) under Heterocephalus glaber (naked mole-rat). It matches the Rfam family "tRNA", at positions 5 to 66 of the family's 71-position model. Rfam says of the family: Transfer RNA (tRNA) molecules are approximately 80 nucleotides in length. The record is from Rfam by way of RNAcentral. Lineage: Eukaryota; Metazoa; Chordata; Mammalia; Rodentia; Bathyergidae.